Prunus avium (sweet cherry) is the source of this 888-nucleotide long non-coding RNA. RefSeq lists it as uncharacterized. The record is from RefSeq and is a predicted model, not a curated record. NCBI's taxonomy places the organism in Eukaryota, Viridiplantae, Streptophyta, Magnoliopsida, Rosales, Rosaceae.
UUUAGAGGAACUUUAUUCAGACGGAAGUGCAAUGAGAGAGCUGCCGCUUGUUAUGAAAAACCUCAAACGUCUAAGCUUUGCUAAAUCAUCAACUUCAAGGGAUGGCAUUGGUAUUGGAAUUGGGUGGGGCCUUGAAUGUUUAUUUGGUAGCUCUGAUGCCAACAAUGAACCGGGAAGUGAUAGCUAAGAUGACGACGAUGAGCCAUCAGCAAAAGAUUCUAGAAAGUCUAAAUUAUUUUGUGCUUGGUUCAAUCAUUCAAUGAGGUAGGAGAUGAAUUGGGAGAAACUUAUGAAGAUGGCCCGUGCGGUUCGCACUGGUGGAAAGGGUAGCACGAGGAGUUCCCAACUUCAGAAAGGAGAAGACUGUUCACAAGACAACUACCGCAGAUGACAAAAGGCUUCAGAGCACCAUUAAGAGAAUAGGGGGUGAACGCUAUUCCUGCAAUCAAGGAAGUUAACAUAUUUACGGAUGAUGUUUUCAUCCAGUUCAUAAACCCCAGAGGGUUGCAAGAUAUUCUUCCCAGUAUAUUAUCAGCCGCUUGGGGACUUGGACAAUUUGAUGAAACUGGCAGAGCAGUUCCAGAAGCAAGCCCCUGGUGCUGGUGCUGCUGGUGGAAUCACUCCACAAGAGGAUGAUGAUGACGAGGUCCCUGAGCUUGUUGCUGGUGAGACCUUCGAAGCUGCUUCGUAGAGAGUUUCAAGCUGUUAAUUUUAUCUUUUCGGUUAAAAUCUAGUUUUACUAUUUCCUAAUGCUUGAUCGAUUAUUGUGUUUAAAGAUUAUUUUCCUGUUUUUAGAUGAUUGUUAUAAACACAUCAAGUAACGAAACCCUUUUAAGCCUUCUGAUUCUGGAGUUGUGGCAACGAUACCCUUCCACAAACGUACUUUUA